Long non-coding RNA from Mustela erminea (ermine), 3462 nucleotides. RefSeq lists it as uncharacterized. Lineage: Eukaryota; Metazoa; Chordata; Mammalia; Carnivora; Mustelidae. The record is from RefSeq and is a predicted model, not a curated record. The transcript is spliced from 3 exons.
AAAUAAGUAAAUACAAUCUUAAAAAAAAAAGGAUAAAAGAAAAGAAAGCACUUUCAUCUGUACACCGUUUAAUGAAAAACUUCAGACAACCUCUCUUAAAAAUGGUUCUGGAAAUGAAGGCAGAUCCUCUGUUUCAGAAAUCAGUGCUGUUGUCAGGGUUUGGACGGGCAAGGGUCCAAUUACACUAGAGAACAAAGAUCUCUCCUCUUCCACCAUUAGCAGUUUGGAUUAGUUUAAAGCAAAAAACUCUCUACUCUCAGGAAAUAAUAACAAAGAAAGGAAUUGCAAUGAAUAUAAUAGUAUAAGAAUAAAGGCCAACAUGCGUUUAGUGCUUACUCCGUGCCAGGCAUAUGUUAACUCAUUGGACACUCCUAGAAUCAUAGGAGGGGUGUUCUGGAAUCUUCCCUGUGUCACAGCUGGGAGACAGAGUCACCGAGAAGUUCCUUGUGCAGGACUUGAACCCGUGCGUCUGGUCCAGGGCCCAUUCAUAAUCACCAUGCUGUGCUGUUGACAGAGAAGCUAAGGUUACACGCCAGCGUCCACUAAGCUGCAGCCCAUAGCUGGAGUAAACAGUGCUCCAGAUGGCUGUGGCCUUGAGAUGAAAUGUAGGACACCUCCCAGCUCUCAUUCCACAGGCACGGGAGUUGGAGGACACGGUUGCCCCCGGUGGCCAUUGAGGCAGCUCUUGCUGCAGAAAAGUAAAGGGAGCGGAAGGGACUGGAGUAAAGAUGUUUCCAAACCAGAGUCCCAGGCCCCAAACGCCUUCUGGGGAGAGAAAGGCCCCUCUGGAUUCCCAGAUAUUACAAAAAAUGGGCCAGGAUGUCUAGCGCUGCAGACCUUUGCCAGAAAAUGGACAAGAAGCUAGGAAAGAGGCUGAAAAAGACUUCCCAAAGCAGAAGGCUCCUCAUUUCUGCUCCUAGUACCCCUGACAGGAUGGCCCUCCCCACCCGAAACAGAGCCUAGGCAAGCCGGGAGCUCUCCCCAGUCCUGGUCCUGGUCCCCCUGUCUCCCUAACCCCCCCCACCACUCCCCGCCUGAAGAGCGAGGGCCUUUGAAGGGGGAUCCUGGUGUGCGUUCCCGGAGAAGGACCACUGGCUUAGUGGAGAAACUGUCCUUGCAACAGUUUACGAGGAUUUGCACUCUCUCGUUGGCUGUUUGCUUUUAUUCUCUGUUGGUUUUGCUAAAGAGUUAAAAUAUUAAGAUUUCAUAAAAUUAGUAAGAGUAUCAAAAGCCAAGCAUUGGAGUAGCAUCAUUCUGUCCAGAAGAACUGUAAAUAGGUUGCGUUAGAGCCGAAAAGAACUGCCUUCAGCAGGCAGCUGUGGCGGGGACCAUGUGGCCAGACGUCCGACAGCCUCCGGACCGCAAGGCUAGAUUCUCAGUCCGUUUGGAGUUGUGUGAUCCUGGACACCGUUUCGUGCCUUGGACUGAGAAAUCAGACUUUCCAUGAGCUUAUAUUUCAAGUGAAUAAAUAGCUCUGGUGAGGCUUAGUUUGAAGAAGAAAUCAAGUUUGGCUCAUGGCUGAGGGCUCCUCGGAAAGCCAGCUGGAGGGAGGCAGCGGCAGCUGGUCAAUUCCCAGGCGGUUACCUGACCAGGUGACCCGCCCCCGACGUCUCAGGGCCUCGGAAAUGAGGGGCUGGGGCCAGAUGAUCUCUGCGGUCCCUUCUAGCUGGAGUGGUCUGUGAGUUUUGUAAGAAAACUAGUCUGAAAAUUGUGGUCCUUUCAUCCCCAUUUUAAAGGCUGGGCUGAGUUCUUUUCUUAAACUAUUGAUGAGUAAAGCUGGGGUUGGCAUAGGCCCAUCUGGUGUGUGGCCCAUCUUGGGCCUGGAUCCCUAGUACUUCAGCUUUUUCUGGCUGUGGAAAACCCCUGGGUGACCACUGUGGUGGCAGGCCCACCCUCCAAGACAGGAGCGCCAGCAAACCUGGUGCUUCUUGCUGCUUCCUGGGGGCUCUGAGGCUGAGGGGCACGGGUCCCUGGGGUGAGACCCCUCCUCAGUCAUUUCAUCUUUCCUUCCCACCUUCUCUGCCAUAGGAGGGAAGGAAGGAAAAAAGAAAGAAAAAGAGAAAGGAAGGAGGGAAGGAAGAAGGAAAGAAAAAGAAAACUGAUAGUAGCAGAGAACCUGAGGAGUGGAGCUAUUCUAAAUGCUUUUGGCAAGACUCCCAGAGGCGGUAGGGAAGAUGGUGUGACCCCGUGCUGCUGGGUGACGUGUGUCUAGAGCCACUGACAAACACCAGCUAGUACAAUAUGGCACAGGGCAGAGAUGAGUGACAGAGACGGGGCGUGUCGCUCGCGGUAGUCAGAGCCCAGAGUUUAGCUCUUGGAAUCAGUGACCUAAGUUCUGUUUCUAAGUGUACUCAGAGCCUUUAUGGAACCCCUACUAUGUACUCAGAAGGCCCGGAUGUAGGGAGUCAGAGGGAGCCCAUGGUUUUCAGGAGCUUGUCGUAGGUCACGCGAUACCCGGCUGAAGGCAUCAGAUCUCCAUUUUCUAAGUGUGGGACUUCUUGAGUGCGACUUAAUCUCCAUAAGCCUCUGUUUCCCCAUCAGUGAAAUCAUAAUAAAAACACGAGGACUUACGUGCAUUAUCUCCUGGGGUUGUAGGAGGGUGGAAACUCUUAGAUGAAGGGUUUGGGGGUGUAUGUGAUGUAUUGCUAGAACCCAGUCAGUAUUAGCUGUCCUCAUAGUAACUGCCAUCACCACUGAGGCAUCCCACCAGGCUUCGGCUCAGUGGGGGAAGUGCUAGAAUGAUCGUGCCCCCCUCCCCACCGGGAGUAGGGUUGGGGAUGGGUUAGAGAAGGCCUGGCAGAGAAGGAAGGUUAGGUAACGGACGUGUGUCCUGCGGGCUGACUUAGAAGUUGCCAGUAAAUAUGUUUAGAGAGUUUCUCCAGGCCCAGGGACUCAGACACCACUUUGCCCGUCACUCCCUGAAACCCCUGGUCCUUGCUGAGAUAUCAUUGACAAGUGUGUGACUUCUCUAGAAAGAAGAGCUGGAACACCUGGGAUUUAACAGGUGUGAACCUGUUAACCCUCCGUGGGGUCUGUGAUGCUCAGGGGAUAGCAGUAGACAGCGUGGAGGCCCCCAGACCUUCUUGAAUAAUCCUUGGUUUGCUUUCCAUGUUUUAGGAGCUCCUCCCAUGGAAAGAAUGGUCACAUCUUAAGGGGGGAGAAAAGCCUAGGAGCCUGUGGGUACCCUGUGAUUUGAGAUUCCUGGGACAAAACUGUCAACUAAGCACAUUAAACAGCCCUCCAUGGCCUCAUGUGACAGCAGCUGGUCCCUCACCAGGGGCCAAGCCUGUCUCCUUGGGCUCAGGAUGGUUUCGGGGCGCAUGUUGUUGUGGCUGGAAUUUUUGAUAAUUUUCAAACUUGAGUAAGUCCUGUCUAAAUGAGUCAGAGCCUUGUGCAAGAUCUUCAAGCCUCAGGAAACUUCUUUUUCAUGAGUUAUGCAAUCAGAUCUUGCAAAGAGGACGG